RNAcentral lists this long non-coding RNA (345 nucleotides) under Glycine max (soybean). RNAcentral describes it as "long non-coding RNA (GMAX_LNC003301)". Lineage: Eukaryota; Viridiplantae; Streptophyta; Magnoliopsida; Fabales; Fabaceae. The record is from RNAcentral.
UGUGAGAUAGAUUAAAAUUUCCCAUCUUGUAUGGGGUGAGCAAGGGUAUCGCCUCUCUUUCAUCCAUUUUUUUGCUUUCUUCUUUGGAGUUGCUGUUCGUGUUCAUAUUUGCCAUCGUCGUAUUUGCCAUUCAAUUGACUCCCAUGCAGUGUCUUGCCAUAUUAUAUUAGUAUUUUAUUAGUAUUAAAUAUAUUAAAUGCUCCUUUUUACUUUAUUGAUAGGAACCGGGAAAUACCAAGUUAUCAUUCAUUGGUGCUUAUCCGAGGGACCACUCUGAUGGCAACAAAAACAAACCAUUGAGAUUUGUAGCACAAAUCCGGUGAUGAGAGGAAUAAGAAGGAUUUA